RNAcentral lists this ribosomal RNA (393 nucleotides) under uncultured bacterium. Its description in RNAcentral is "partial 16S ribosomal RNA". It matches the Rfam family "Bacterial small subunit ribosomal RNA", at positions 523 to 918 of the family's 1533-position model. The record is from RNAcentral.
AUACGGAGGAUCCGAGCGUUAUCCGGAUUUAUUGGGUUUAAAGGGUGCGCAGGCGGGAGAUUAAGUCGGCGGUGGAAAUUUUCAGCUCAACCGUGAAAGUGCCUUCGAAACUGGGUUCCUUGUGUGUAGAUGAAGGAGGCGGAAUUUGUGGUGUAGCGGGGUAAUGCACAGAUAUCACGAGGAACUCCGAUUGCGCAGGCAGCUUACUAAACUACUACUGACGCUCAGGCACGAAGGCGUGGGGAUCAAACAGGAUUAGAUACCCUGGUAGUCCACGCAGUAAACGAUGAUUACUAGCUGUUUGCGAUACAAUGUAAGCGGCUGAGCGAAAGCGUUAAGUUAUCCACCUGGGGAUUACGUUCGCAAGAAUGAAACUCAAAUGAAUUGACGGGG